GGACUACUGGGGUUUCUAAUCCUGUUUGCUCCCCAUGCUUUCGCGCCUCAGCGUCAGUAUCAGCCCAGUAAACCGUCUUCACCACCGGUGUUCUUCCACAUAUCUACGCAUUUCACCGCUACACGUGGAAUUCCGUUUACCCUAACUGAACUCUAGCUCUGCAGUUUCAAAUGCAGCUCCGGGGUUGAGCCCCGGAAUUUCACAUCUGACUUACAAAGCCGCCUACGCGCCCUUUACGCCCAGUAAUUCCGAUCAAUGCUUGCACCCUCCGUAUUACCGCGGCUGCUGGCAC
Molecule: ribosomal RNA, 292 nt
Filed under: uncultured bacterium
Lineage: Bacteria
Description: partial 16S ribosomal RNA
Source: RNAcentral